GGUGUGGUGGUCCAGUGGUAAGGCAUUGGUCUUGUAAACCAAAGAUCAUGGGUUUGAUCCCCAUCUAUGCCU
Amphiprion ocellaris (clown anemonefish) is the source of this 72-nucleotide non-coding RNA. NCBI's taxonomy places the organism in Eukaryota, Metazoa, Chordata, Actinopteri, Pomacentridae. The record is from the annotation of a RefSeq genome assembly.